GACGAAGGAUGCAAGCGUUAUCCGGAUUCAUUGGGUUUAAAGGGAGCGUAGGUGGCCUUAUAAGUCAGUGGUGAAAUCUCUCAGCUUAACUGAGAAAUUGCCAUUGAUACUGUAGGGCUUGAGUACAGAUGCCGUUGGCGGAAUAUGACAUGUAGUGGUGAAAUACAUAGAGAUGUCAUAGAACACCAAUUGCGAAGGCAGCUGACGAAACUGUAACUGACACUGAGGCUCGAAAGUGCGGGGAUCAAACAGG
This 253-nucleotide ribosomal RNA is filed under the name uncultured bacterium. Its description in RNAcentral is "partial 16S ribosomal RNA". It matches the Rfam family "Bacterial small subunit ribosomal RNA", at positions 524 to 776 of the family's 1533-position model. The record is from RNAcentral.